GGGGAUAUAGCUCAGUGGUAGGGCAUUUGAAUGCAGAUUGAGAGAUCUCCGUUUCAAACCCGGGUGUCCCCU
Non-coding RNA from Trichonephila inaurata madagascariensis, 72 nucleotides. The record is from the annotation of a GenBank genome assembly. NCBI's taxonomy places the organism in Eukaryota, Metazoa, Arthropoda, Arachnida, Araneae, Nephilidae.